This 332-nucleotide ribosomal RNA is filed under the name uncultured eukaryote. RNAcentral describes it as "partial 18S ribosomal RNA". It matches the Rfam family "Eukaryotic small subunit ribosomal RNA", at positions 1470 to 1796 of the family's 1831-position model. The record is from RNAcentral.
CCCUUAGAUGUUCUGGGCUGCACACGCGCUACACUGGCAGGUUCAGCGAGCUUCUUGCCCUGAUCUGAGAAGAAUGGGAAACCUUUUCAACACCUGCCGUGCUUGGGAUAGAUGUUUGCAAUUAUUCAUCUUCAACAAGGAUUGCCUUGUAGGCGUGCCUCAUCAGGGCACAUCGAAUACGACCCUGUAUUCUGUACACACCGCCCGUCGCUACUACCGAUUGAAUGAUUUAGUGAGGACUUCGGACUGGGACCGAUGCGGCUUUCGGGCUGCGUCGGUAUUCUGGAAAGAUGUCCAAACUGUAUCAUUUAGAGGAAGUAAAAGUCGUANCA